RNAcentral lists this ribosomal RNA (253 nucleotides) under uncultured bacterium. RNAcentral's name for it is "partial 16S ribosomal RNA". It matches the Rfam family "Bacterial small subunit ribosomal RNA", at positions 524 to 776 of the family's 1533-position model. The record is from RNAcentral.
UACGUAGGGGGCAAGCGUUGUCCGGAUUUAUUGGGCGUAAAGAGCGUGUAGGCGGCCUGGCAGGUCGGCUGUGAAAACUCGAGGCUUAACCUCGAGACGCCGGCUGAAACCCUCUGGCUAGAGUCCGGAAGAGGAGAGCGGAAUUCCUGGUGUAGCGGUGAAAUGCGCAGAUAUCAGGAAGAACACCCGUGGCGAAGGCGGCUCUCUGGGACGGUACUGACGCUGAGGUGCGAAAGCGUGGGGAGCAAACAGG